RNAcentral lists this long non-coding RNA (220 nucleotides) under Elaeis guineensis (African oil palm). RNAcentral's name for it is "long non-coding RNA (EGUI_LNC053960)". The record is from RNAcentral. Lineage: Eukaryota; Viridiplantae; Streptophyta; Magnoliopsida; Arecales; Arecaceae.
CAUCACCAUAUCAUCGAAACUCUUUUCAAUGGGCUAGAACGAUUCCAACUCACCUCAACAAGGAUUAUUGAUCCGAAAAUGAUCCUAAUGAGUUCUCACGAUCCAUCAGUGAUGUCUAGCAGCAUGUAGUGGUAAUUCAGUAGAAUGAAAAAGAUAAACCUUUAGAUACAGUUAUCGUGUGAUAUAAUCCCUCUACCAUGAGUUUUGAUUAGAUGGAGGU